UACGGAGGGAGCUAGCGUUGUUCGGAAUUACUGGGCGUAAAGCGCGCGUAGGCGGUAGGCCAAGUCUGCUGUGAAAUCGCCCGGCUCAACUGGGCGCGGUCGGUGGAAACUGGUCAACUGGAGGACGGUAGAGGCGAGUGGAAUUCCCGGUGUAGUGGUGAAAUGCGUAGAGAUCGGGAGGAACACCAGUGGCGAAGGCGGCUCGCUGGGCCGGACCUGACGCUGAGGCGCGAAGGCGUGGGGAGCGAACGGG
This 253-nucleotide ribosomal RNA is filed under the name uncultured bacterium. RNAcentral describes it as "partial 16S ribosomal RNA". It matches the Rfam family "Bacterial small subunit ribosomal RNA", at positions 524 to 776 of the family's 1533-position model. The record is from RNAcentral.